RNAcentral lists this ribosomal RNA (490 nucleotides) under uncultured bacterium. RNAcentral describes it as "partial 16S ribosomal RNA". It matches the Rfam family "Bacterial small subunit ribosomal RNA", at positions 28 to 507 of the family's 1533-position model. The record is from RNAcentral.
GAUGAACGCUAGCGAUAGGCUUAACACAUGCAAGUCGAGGGGCAGCAUGGUCUUAGCUUGCUAAGACUGAUGGCGACCGGCGCACGGGUUCGUAACGCGUAUGCAACUUGCCUCACAGAGGGGGAUAACCCGUCGAAAGACGGACUAAUACCGCGUACACUCCAUCUUGGGCAUCCAAGGUAGAGGAAAUGAAAUUCGCUGUUAGAUAGGCAUGCGUCGCAUUAGCUAGUUGGUGAGGUAACGGCUCACCAAGGCGACGAUGGGUAGGGGAACUGAGAGGUUGAACCCCCACACUGGUACUGAGACACGGACCAGACUCCUACGGGAGGCAGCAGUAGGGAAUAUUGGUCAAUGGGCGAGAGCCUGAACCAGCCAAGUCGCGUGAAGGAUGACUGUCUUAUGGAUUGUAAGCUUCGUUUAUACGGGAAAACCAAGAGUCACGUGUGACCCCCUGAAUGUACCGUAUGAAUAAGCAUCGGCUAACUCCGUG